UGUUCUUUCAGCGUAGCUGGUGCCGGUUUAAAAACCGGAGAAUAGGGAACUGCGUGAAAAUCGCAGACUGUACCCGCAACUGUAUAACGGUAAGCCACGAAAUCCCUGCAUGGCCACAUGCAUCGGUUUCAGGGUUCGUUCCAGGUCACUGCAUCGUUUUCCACCUCGGAAAACAGCGGGAAGGCCGGAAUGGAAGUAAGCCGUCAAAGUCAGGAGACCUGCCAUCUACCAUUUGCAUAA
Molecule: non-coding RNA, 240 nt
Filed under: Pelodictyon luteolum
Lineage: Bacteria; Pseudomonadati; Chlorobiota; Chlorobiia; Chlorobiales; Chlorobiaceae
Also listed under: 1 other name
Source: RNAcentral